CUGCUAGGGCAGGACUCAGCCCAGAGAGCCUGCUGGAUUUGGGGCUCUGUGUGGAAGGGCGAGGAGACAUCGCAGUGCCACUCUGACACUGCAUACAUUUUCCUAAAGCACAGGAAAGGAAACAGAAGGCUCCAGGGAGCCCCAGGACUUGACCUCUGGGAUUGGGCCAUUCUAAGGGCAGGCUCAGCAGUCUCUCUGCUCUCCAGGAAAGGCGUUCCCUCUACGGGAGACAGCUCUGGGCUUGCUUUGAGGGCUCCAGACUGGAUUCAGCAUACGCGGGAGCUGGGGGAGGGCGGCUUGCAAGGCGGUGAGCUCCCCGCCACUGGAAGCUGGAAGCUACAGGGAAGCUUCCGCGGAGGACUGGCGAUGGCUUCUUUGCUCCAACAGCUGCUCCUUGUGCCAGGCUCAGGCUGAGUUACAGCUAGAGGUGCAGUGGCUACAAGAGUUUCUGCUCACGGUCAUGGAAGAGAAAGAAAAUGAACAAGCACCCCAGCCUGAAACUCACCCCUUGACAAGCACCCUGCAAGCUACAGUGAUUCUGAAUCCCAGAAGUGAUGGGCUGUCUUGGAGAAUCCCAGGGGCUGUCCUGUGCUCCAGGCCUGUCUCAGGACUCCUUGGGUGGACGCAAUCUCCUCUAGUCCCCUCUAAAGACUUCUUCAUCAUUACGAUGAACCAGAGAAGGGCAAGCCGAGAAGCAUGGAGGUCAUUCCACCAGCCUGUGGACUCCUGGCCCAUCCAGUCACUAAAGCUAUGGAGGAGAAGGCAGAGAGACAUGGACCUGGGGGAAAGAGGAGGCUCCCUGUACCUAUCAGCUGUAGGGAAGAAGACUCUGCUCCACACAGUCACUUGGGAUUGAAGCUGAUGGAGGCUCCACCAUCUCAUAGCUACUUCAUCUGGAACCAGCAGCCUCCUCAGCAGAAGGAGGGAGCAGGAAGGGUGUCCAGGGUGUUUUCACUCGAUCAACCCGGAAUGAGAGGUAGCACUUUGCUCACAUUUCACUGGCCAGAAUUAGGAAUGUGACCUCAUCUAACUGCAAGGGAACUGGGAAGCAAUGUGCCCAGAACGAGUGGUCUGCACACAUUGCCCUGCUUCCUUACCUUUCAUUCAAUCUUCAAUUGCCCAGUCUAGGCUGUUCCCCACCACUUAUACCAGCACAGCCUCCUGUUUCCAAACCCAGUGGUCAUUCUCAUGUUUCCCAAUCUAUGGGCAGCACUAACCCCAGCUACUGCCCCCACCUCGAUCUAGCCUGGCCUCAGCUUCUGCAAUACCUCAUUCUGCUGGGCUUCCUUCCCUCUCUCUCUGCUCUGUGAGUUUCUCCUCACCCAACCUUCUCUAAAUGUUGGUGUCUUCUCAGAACAGAUCUUGGCCCUAUUGUUUUUUCUCUGUAUAUUCUCUUGCUAAAUAAUUACAUCAGUUCCAUAGCUUUAAAUGGCAUCUAUUUGCCAAUACAUCUUAAACACAGAUCGCAGGGCAGAGUUCUAUCCCUAGGAGACUCACACUUUUCUUCUCCACUGCUUGCUUGAGAGCCCACAGUGCAUCAUAUAAGGAACUUGAGUCUCCCACACUUGAGUCAAUCACGGCUUCUUGUCGUAAUUGGAAAUCUAGGAGUGGCACAUCCUUGACAGCUCCCUUUUGCUCAGCCCUGAAUAUAAACCAUCCAUAUGUCCUGUAGAUUUAACCUCCAAAAUACAUCAAAGGAGGUCUGGAAUCAACAAACCUCAGGCUGUCUCCACUGCCACUCGCUCAGUGCCAAUCUUGUCCUGGGCGGCACUCGGGGUUCCCCCACUCGCUCCUUGUCAAGUCAUUCUCCCAGCAGCACCAGAUUUGUCUAUAAAAUGCAAACCAAAUCAUGGUACUUCCUGCUUCAGUCCCUGAGCUGGCUUCUCACUCCUCGGGAAUCAAGUUCAAGUUCCCCUCCAUGGCCCACAUGACCAUGCAACCCAGGCCCUCCUCGGCCUCAUACAUGCUACCCUCCCCUCCACAGUGUGUUCCAGCCACACAGAGCUCCUUGUCCUGCUCUGCACCACUUGCCCCCUUUCCACACCGAGGCCUUGUCACACUCAGUGCUGUAUCGUUCACUAAAACGUCACCGCCUUGAUGAGCUGGAUGCACAGAGGCAUUGAGGAGAAGUGCAUCUGGCAUCUCCCCAAAACAAAAGACAUCACUGUAUCAAAAGAAUACCUGCCCUCAUAUGUUCUUCCCAGCACCAUUCACAAUAGCAAAGGCAUGAAAUCAGCCCGGGUGUCCACCAACCGAAGACGGGACGAAGAAAAUGUAGUGCAUAUGCACCAAGGAAUACUACUUGGCCAUAAAGAUGAAUGAAAUCAUGUCUUCUGCAGCAAUAAGGAUGGAACUGGAGGCCAUUCUCCUACGUGAAAUAACUCAGACACAAAAAGAUAAAUACCACACGUUCUCACUUAACAGUGGGAGCUAAAUAAUGUGUACACAUGGAUGUAGAGUGUGGAAUGAUAGACUCUGGAGACACCCAAGGGUGGGGAGGAUGGAGGGGGUGAGGCAGGAGAAGUUACUUCAUGGGUACCACAUACGUUAGUCCAGCAAUGGCUACACUAAAGGCUCAGAUGACACCACUACGUAUUAUAUCCAUGUAACAAAAUUACACUUGUGCCUCAUAAAUGUAUACAAGUUUGAAUAAAGGACAACUGU
Molecule: long non-coding RNA, 2664 nt
Organism: Homo sapiens (human)
Lineage: Eukaryota; Metazoa; Chordata; Mammalia; Primates; Hominidae
Source: Ensembl